This 429-nucleotide ribosomal RNA is filed under the name Actinomycetes bacterium. RNAcentral's name for it is "Actinobacteria bacterium partial 16S ribosomal RNA". It matches the Rfam family "Bacterial small subunit ribosomal RNA", at positions 355 to 776 of the family's 1533-position model. The record is from RNAcentral. Lineage: Bacteria; Bacillati; Actinomycetota; Actinomycetes.
UAGGGAAUCUUCCGCAAUGGGCGAAAGCCUGACGGAGCAACGCCGCGUGAGUGAUGAAGGUCUUCGGAUCGUAAAACUCUGUUAUUAGGGAAGAACAAAUGUGUAAGUAACUAUGCACGUCUUGACGGUACCUAAUCAGAAAGCCACGGCUAACUACGUGCCAGCAGCCGCGGUAAUACGUAGGUGGCAAGCGUUAUCCGGAAUUAUUGGGCGUAAAGCGCGCGUAGGCGGUUUUUUAAGUCUGAUGUGAAAGCCCACGGCACAACCGUGGAGGGUCAUUGGAAGCUGGAAAACUUGAGUGCAGAAGAGGAAAGUGGAAUUCCAUGUGUAGCGGUGAAAUGCGCAGAGAUAUGGAGGAACACCAGUGGCGAAGGCGACUUUCUGGUCUGUAACUGACGCUGAUGUGCGAAAGCGUGGGGAUCAAACAGG